AGAUUGAACGCUGGCGGCAUGCCUUACACAUGCAAGUCGAACGGCAGCACGGGAGCAAUCCUGGUGGCGAGUGGCGAACGGGUGAGUAAUACAUCGGAACGUGCCCAAUCGUGGGGGAUAACGCAGCGAAAGCUGUGCUAAUACCGCAUAAGAUCUACGGAUGAAAGCAGGGGAUCGCAAGACCUUGCGCGAAUGGAGCGGCCGAUGGCAGAUUAGGUAGUUGGUGAGGUAAAGGCUCACCAAGCCUUCGAUCUGUAGCUGGUCUGAGAGGACGGCCAGCCACACUGGGACUGAGACACGGCCCAGACUCCUACGGGAGCAGCAGUGGGGAAUUUGGACAAGUGGGCGAAAGCCUGAUCCAGCCAUGCCGCGUGCAGGAUGAAGGCCUU
RNAcentral lists this ribosomal RNA (389 nucleotides) under uncultured soil bacterium. Its description in RNAcentral is "bacterial SSU rRNA". It matches the Rfam family "Bacterial small subunit ribosomal RNA", at positions 26 to 418 of the family's 1533-position model. The record is from RNAcentral.